This is a long non-coding RNA of Chenopodium quinoa (quinoa), 2135 nucleotides long. RefSeq lists it as uncharacterized. The record is from RefSeq and is a predicted model, not a curated record. The transcript has 5 exons. NCBI's taxonomy places the organism in Eukaryota, Viridiplantae, Streptophyta, Magnoliopsida, Caryophyllales, Amaranthaceae.
CUCUUUCUCUUUCCUCUAUCUCGCGUUCUCUCUCUCUCUCCUUCCUCCUCUCUCCUCAACUAGAUCUCCCUAUUCUCUCUCUCUUUCCUCUCUCCACCGUGCCGUCGUCCAUUCCUCCCGCUUCCCUCUAUUCAUGUCCUAGCAACGGCGGCAGUGGCGCUAGGAGCUGAUACAAACCCACCUCUCGUCGUUUCCCCCUCGCGAAAUGAUUUUCCCUGAAGUGGAGCGAACCUGGGUACGGGAUUUAACUCGGGUAUUGAGGCCAUGUGAAGGUUGGGUAUGGUAAUGAGUUUGAUGACGAUGAGGUGUUGAGCUUUUGUCUGACUCAUACCCCUACAAGGAACUCUUCAAUGGAUGCCUUUGGGACGUAGAUGGAAAGUGGACUGUUAAAGGUGGUGUUGAUGUCAACAUUAGUGCCAACCCUUAUGCUGAAAAAUGGGUAAACGUCUCAAGGAAUAAAUAGUAAUGUCUAAGGGGGUUGUAUGAAGAUAUGUUGAAUUCACUCAGAUGUUACCAAGCUAAGGAUUCUGUUCUGAAUUUUAAAUCUGCUGUUAAUGUUCCUCUGUUGUCUCUUAAUGAGGCUUUGUUUUGUUUGAAAUCCUAAAUCUGAUGCAAGGUCUAAGGGGGUUGUUUUGUUUGAAAUAAUGAUGAUGAUUUUGCUACUUGGAUUUGAAAAAGAUCUCGAAAAGAUGCAAUGUUUUAUUGUUUUGGUUGUAAUGAUGAUUUUGCAGCUCGAAUUAGAUAAUAUAUUAAUAGUUGUUGUCGUUAGCUACUUUUUUUCGGGAGCUAUAUAUAGAGUGAGAGGGUGGGAGGUGGAGGUUUGGCUUCUACUUGAAUUUUUUUCAAACUGAUGAAUAUUGCACUUGUACAUUAGCAGUAUAUGGAAUGAAGUGCUCAAAUGUGUUAUGAGUCUCUUUCAACGUUCUGUCAAUUUGGGCCCUGUGAUGUCUCUUGAAUCUUUAUUGCUCAUAAUGUGCAGUGAACAUGUUUAGUUCUGCUUUGAAAAAUUGAGUCUGCAUGUCUAGCACCAGGUCUCCUUGUUUAUUGGCUAUUUAAAGAUGUGUAGUGGCUGUCCCUUCCAGCCUUCCUGCUUUUUACAUAAGAAAUCAUGAAAUUUCUUUUGCCUUUUGUUUAGUUGUUUGUGCAUGGAUGGAGUUGCUAGUUACUUUCAAUAUCUAAUCUCUUUGAAAGUGCACACCUGUCUUCUGCCCUUUUAAUGCAUAAAUCCUAAUGAUCUGAUAUACAGAAUUUAUCUUAUGCAUUAUGCAUAUUUUAUUUUUAAUUAUUUUACCCUCAGCUUGUAGAUCCUAAUGUUUUUCAUUACUUUUACAAAAUUCAUAUCCUUGACCUCUUUGAAUUUUGAUUAAUAAUUUACUUAUCUUAUGUUGAAGUUCCUGAGAUUUGGUCACAUUUCCUUUUCUUUGUAUAUAUCUUAGACAUGGCUAAAUUAGACCUUUCUUGACUACCUUUGAGAUGAUUUCAAUCAUAUUUUAGAACAAAGUUAAUGAUAGGUAAAUUUAGAGAAGUUAAGUCCAUUGAAAUAGAUUUUUAAAAUCAAAAGUUAACAUAUAUGCCUAGAUGUAUGCUUAGAGUAUACAAAUAGAUCUUCCAGUUUCUUUUUUUUUUUUUUUUUUUGAAUAAUGAUUUUGCAGUUUCUAAUUUCAUGUGUUUGAUAAUUUCUUAGGCUUUUUGUUUGUUGCUCUGAUACUCCGUAUCUUGCUUAGGGAAGUAUCAAUUAUUGACAAGUAUACUUUUCACACAGGUCAGAAAAAGACUUGGAUUUUAUGCUUGCUUCAUUUAGCGAUCACCAGAUUUAAUAUCACUUCUGAAGCUUGCAGGUCCACAAAGAGGGACAAUUGCAUUCAUCGCUUGAUUGGAGUGGUGGAGCAUUCUAGAUCAAUGUCAGAGGAGGUGACAAAAGAGAAAAUAUACGAAGACUAUUGGAAGAUUUUAUCUAUACGCAAGGUUGCUGCUGCCUCGUAAGGCUGCUGCAGCUGCUGCCUCGCCAAGGCUGUUUCAUUGGUGUGACUUUGCUUGUAUUUAACAGUGACUAGUAUUUUUUUUAAGUUUUUUGGACCAAAAUUGUAAUAUUAUAGCCUUUUUUAAUGAAAAUAUGUAAGUAUAUAUAUAUGUUA